ACAUGGAACACCAGAACAAGCAGAAUAGGAGCUGGGUUCCAAGGCCUGGGAACAUGAACUCAGUUUUGAUCCGGUUAGCUGAGACGGCUGGACUCAGAAAACUGUCUCCUAACAGUAGAAAGAGAGCAAUGGGAAGGAUGUAAGAGCCAGGGGACCAUUUGCUGGUCUGCCAAUUAUCUUAGAGUCUUUGCUGAAGAUUCCUGGGCUGGGAAAUCCACUCAGCCAGGAGGAGAAAGAGACCCUCAAGGACCCUGGCUCUAUUUUACCUGCUGCCCUUGACCAUGUGGUGAUACUCAAAUGACCAUUCUGGAUUCCUAGACCUUGGAACCAGAGCCAAAGAAACUUCUGUGCUUUAUAAGUCACUCAACCAGGAAUACUCAGUUAUAGUAACAGAAAACAAAGCUAAGUCACGCAGGAUGUAAGGAGAUGAGCCCAGAUAGAGAUAAGGCUACAGAAUUAAUCAGAUGGAAAAAUCACUCCUGUACCUGGUCAUGUUAGAACUGCAUCAUGUUUUUAUACUGGGAAAAUGUAUUAAAUACAUCCUCUGCC
Molecule: long non-coding RNA, 549 nt
Filed under: Mus spretus (western wild mouse)
Lineage: Eukaryota; Metazoa; Chordata; Mammalia; Rodentia; Muridae
Description: lncRNA (ENSMSPG00010044235.1)
Source: RNAcentral